This 285-nucleotide ribosomal RNA is filed under the name uncultured soil bacterium. Its description in RNAcentral is "partial 16S ribosomal RNA". It matches the Rfam family "Bacterial small subunit ribosomal RNA", at positions 26 to 335 of the family's 1533-position model. The record is from RNAcentral.
AGAACGAACGCUGGCGGCAUGCCUAAUACAUGCAAGUCGAACGAACACUUCGGUGUUAGUGGCGCACGGGUGCGUAACGCGUGGGAAUCUGCCCUUGGGUUCGGAAUAACAGUUGGAAACGACUGCUAAUACCGGAUGGAUAUCGAAAGAUCAAAGAUUUAUCGCCCAGGGAUGAGCCCGCGUAGGAUUAGCUAGUUGGUGAGGUAAAGGCUCACCAAGGCGACGAUCCUUAGCUGGUCUGAGAGGAUGAUCAGCCCACACGUGGGACUGACGACACGGCCCAGA